Molecule: ribosomal RNA, 517 nt
Filed under: uncultured Acidobacteriota bacterium
Lineage: Bacteria; Pseudomonadati; Acidobacteriota
Description: bacterial SSU rRNA
Rfam family: Bacterial small subunit ribosomal RNA
Source: RNAcentral
UCCCGCAAGGGAGUAGAGUCGAGGUGCUGCAUGGCUGUCGUCAGCUCGUGUCGUGAGAUGUUGGGUUAAGUCCCGCAACGAGCGCAACCCUUGCCCUGUUUUGCCAUCAUUAAGUUGGGAACUAUCAGGGGACCGCCAGCGAUAAGUUGGAGGAAGGUGGGGAUGACGUCAAGUCAUCAUGGCCUUUAUGUCCAGGGCUACACACGUGCUACAAUGGACGGUACAAAGCGCUGCGAAACCGCGAGGUGGAGCUAAUCGCAAAAAACCGUUCUCAGUUCGGAUCGCAGGCUGCAACUCGCCUGCGUGAAGCUGGAAUCGCUAGUAAUGGCAGAUCAGCAUGCUGCCGUGAAUACGUUCCCGGGCCUUGUACACACCGCCCGUCACAUCACGAAAGUGGAUUGUACUAGAAGUCUGUGAGUUAACCGCAAGGAGACCACGGCCCAAGGUAUGAUUCAUGAUUGGGGUGAAGUCGUAACAAGGUAGCCGUAGGAGAACCUGCGGCUGGAUCACCUCCUUU